This 253-nucleotide ribosomal RNA is filed under the name uncultured bacterium. RNAcentral's name for it is "partial 16S ribosomal RNA". It matches the Rfam family "Bacterial small subunit ribosomal RNA", at positions 524 to 776 of the family's 1533-position model. The record is from RNAcentral.
UACGUAGGGUGCGAGCGUUAAUCGGAAUUACUGGGCGUAAAGCGUGCGCAGGCGGUUUUGUAAGCCAGAUGUGAAGGCCCCGGGCUCAACCUGGGAAUGGCAUUUGGGACUGCAAGGCUGGAGUUUGGCAGAGGAGACUGGAAUUCCCGGUGUAGCAGUGAAAUGCGUAGAUAUCGGGAGGAACACCGAUGGCGAAAGCAGGUGACUGGACUGCUAUUGACACUGAGCCACGAAAGCUAGGGGAGCAAACAGG